RNAcentral lists this ribosomal RNA (252 nucleotides) under uncultured bacterium. Its description in RNAcentral is "partial 16S ribosomal RNA". It matches the Rfam family "Bacterial small subunit ribosomal RNA", at positions 75 to 334 of the family's 1533-position model. The record is from RNAcentral.
UAACUUUGGUUGGCGACCGGCGCACGGUGCGUAACGCGUAUGCAACCACCUUAACAGGGCGAUAACACUGAGAAAUUGGUACUAAUUCCCCACUAACAUUCGAGAAGGCAUCUUCUUGGGUUAAAAACUCCGGUGGUUAAAGAUGGGCAUGCGUUGUAUUAGCUAGUUGGUGAGGUAACGGCUCACCAAGGCAACGAUACAUAGGGGGACUGAGAGGUUAACCCCCCACAUUGGUACUGAGACACGGACCAA